This 482-nucleotide ribosomal RNA is filed under the name uncultured bacterium. Its description in RNAcentral is "bacterial SSU rRNA". It matches the Rfam family "Bacterial small subunit ribosomal RNA", at positions 903 to 1397 of the family's 1533-position model. The record is from RNAcentral.
AAAUGAAUAGACGGGGGCCCGCACAAGCAGCGGAGCGUGUGGUUUAAUUCGAGGCUACGCGAAGAACCUUACCAGGGUUUGACAUGGCGGUGGUAGGGAGGUGAAAGCCAACCGACCCUUCGGGGAGCCGUCACAGGUGCUGCAUGGCUGUCGUCAGCUCGUGCCGUGAGGUGUUAGGUUAAGUCCUGUAACGAGCGCAACCCACAUCGUUAGUUAUACGUGUCUAGCGAGACUGCCGGUGAUAAGCCGGAGGAAGGUGUGGAUGACGUCAAGUCAGCAUGGCCUUUAUAUCCUGGGCGACACACACGCUACAAUGGCCGGUACAAUGGGUCGCCAAGCCGUGAGGCGGAGCCAAUCCCGCAAAGCCGGUCUCAGUUCGGAUUGCAGGCUGCAACUCGCCUGCAUGAAGUCGGAGUUGCUAGUAACCGCAGGUCAGCCACACUGCGGUGAAUACGUUCCCGGGCCUUGUACACACCGCCCGU